Molecule: long non-coding RNA, 606 nt
Filed under: Homo sapiens (human)
Lineage: Eukaryota; Metazoa; Chordata; Mammalia; Primates; Hominidae
Description: non-protein coding lnc-RALA-2:1
Source: RNAcentral
AUCAAUUCAUUUAUAAUACAAUAAUUGGUUUUUUUUUUUUUUUUUUUUUUUUUUUUUUUUUUUUUUUUUUUUUUUGAGAUGGAGUCUCGCUUUGUUGCCCAGGCUGGAGAGCAGUGGCGCGAUCACGGCUCACUGCGAGCUCCGCCUCCCGGGUUCACGCCAUUCUCCUGCCUCAGCCUCCCAAAGUGCUGGGAUUACAGGAGCCACUAGAAAUUGAUGCUGGGUAUAGGGUAAUCCCUCAAAAAUAAUAUAACUUAUAAAACUGAAUAAAAACAAAAAUGGAUGUCAAUUUUCAUAGUGACAGGGACUGACCAAAGGCAUAUUUUCACAGACUUUGUCCAAAUGUAUCAAAGAGCAUUUUAAAGUAUUAAAUUGGGUUCUUCCCUUACUAGUAAUGAAAAUGCAUAAUUUUAUUUAUAAUUAACAAGUGUAAAAAGUUGUUCAAGAUUGAAAAACUGAAAAACUUGCAGAGAAAUAAGGGAAUAAAAUAGAGCCACGUAUAUCUAUUACCUCGUUAAGGGGAAAUAUUUCAUCUGGAAGAUCAAUCCAAACAAUAACUUCUAAAAACUAAAUGCUUAAUUACAUACCAAUAAGAAUCAAUUUUGG